This 379-nucleotide ribosomal RNA is filed under the name Bacillus anthracis (anthrax bacterium). RNAcentral's name for it is "bacterial SSU rRNA". It matches the Rfam family "Bacterial small subunit ribosomal RNA", at positions 1150 to 1527 of the family's 1533-position model. Lineage: Bacteria; Bacillati; Bacillota; Bacilli; Caryophanales; Bacillaceae. The record is from RNAcentral. RNAcentral also lists the same sequence under 1 other name.
UGCCGGUGACAAACCGGAGGAAGGUGGGGAUGACGUCAAAUCAUCAUGCCCCUUAUGACCUGGGCUACACACGUGCUACAAUGGACGGUACAAAGAGCUGCAAGACCGCGAGGUGGAGCUAAUCUCAUAAAACCGUUCUCAGUUCGGAUUGUAGGCUGCAACUCGCCUACAUGAAGCUGGAAUCGCUAGUAAUCGCGGAUCAGCAUGCCGCGGUGAAUACGUUCCCGGGCCUUGUACACACCGCCCGUCACACCACGAGAGUUUGUAACACCCGAAGUCGGUGGGGUAACCUUUUUGGAGCCAGCCGCCUAAGGUGGGACAGAUGAUUGGGGUGAAGUCGUAACAAGGUAGCCGUAUCGGAAGGUGCGGCUGGAUCACC